GUAACGCGUAUGCAACCUACCUAUCAGAGGGGAAUAACCGGCGAAAGUCGGACUAAUACCGCAUAAAACAGGGGCACCGCAUGGUGAUAUUUGUUAAAGAAAUUCGCUGAUAGAUGGGCAUGCGUUCCAUUAGGUAGUUGGUGAGGUAACGGCUCACCAAGCCGACGAUGGAUAGGGAACUGAGAGGUUGGUCCCCCACACUGGUACUGAGACACGGACCAGACUCCUACGGGAGGCAGCAGUGAGGAAUAUUGGUCAAUGGGCGGGAGCCUGAACCAGCCAAGUCGCGUAGAAGGAAGAAGGAUCUAUGGUUACGUAAACUUUCUUUUGCGAGGGGAAUAAAGUGCAGGACGUGUCCUGUUUUGUAUGUACCCUGAGAAUAAGGAUCGGCUAACUCCGUGCCAGCAGCCGC
This 412-nucleotide ribosomal RNA is filed under the name uncultured bacterium. RNAcentral's name for it is "bacterial SSU rRNA". It matches the Rfam family "Bacterial small subunit ribosomal RNA", at positions 110 to 518 of the family's 1533-position model. The record is from RNAcentral.